GCAGCAGCCAGCAUCCGCGGGGUCGCUCGGGCGCCCCUGAGUGGGCGGCAGUGGCAGCAGACCUCUCUCCCGGGAGUCCCGGACCUGCCAGCGCUGGGGAUUCCUCCCAGGCGGGCGCUCGUCUUCUCUUUUAUGCUGAGCCUCUGCCGUUGAUGGACCUAUGCCGGCGAUCCAUCCGCUCAGCCCUGGGCAGACAGCGCCUGCGGGACAUCGGCUCCCUGCCCCUGCCUCAGUCUCUUAAAAACUAUCUGCAGUACCAAUGAGCAGUGCUGAGGACCUGCUGUCACCUGUGGUCACACAGCUCCGGAGCAUUGGGAUGACAUCACUGAUUUGCUGCCAUCAACCAGGACCAGGAGGCCACCAAGGGAACCAGAGUGUAGAGACCAUUUCUUCCUCCAGAGAAUGAAUAAAACAUUCAGUAGGAGAUGGCGUCCGGUUCCCCACUGCAGACGGCUCAGGAAGAUUGGCCAGUGGAGAGAAAAUAGGUUCUGAAUAAUGAACGACGAAGUCAGGCCUUCACGCUCUCCUCCCCGCCUGCCCCUGGC
This 545-nucleotide long non-coding RNA is filed under the name Rattus norvegicus (Norway rat). RNAcentral's name for it is "long non-coding RNA NONRATT028893". The record is from RNAcentral. Lineage: Eukaryota; Metazoa; Chordata; Mammalia; Rodentia; Muridae.